AAUAGUAUCGCUUCAGCUGGUGCUGUCUAGAAGUGUAGACGGCUGAAAAAGGGAAUCUGGUGCAAAACCAGAACUGACGCGCAGCGGUAAGAGAGAACGAAAGCUCAAAUGACACUGCAUAAGCGAUGUGGGAAGUCGAGUGACUAGGUGGCGAUGCCGAGCUCUUAAGUCCGAAUACCUGCCAGCAACCGAAUCGUUAAU
This 201-nucleotide non-coding RNA is filed under the name Vibrio aestuarianus. Lineage: Bacteria; Pseudomonadati; Pseudomonadota; Gammaproteobacteria; Vibrionales; Vibrionaceae. The record is from RNAcentral.